UACGAAGGGUGCAAACGUUGCUCGGAAUUAUUGGGCGUAAAGCGCACGUAGGCGGCUUGGCAAGUCGGAUGUGAAAUCCCUCGGCUCAACCAAGGAAGUGCAUCCGAAACUGCUGAGCUUGAGUACUUAAGAGGAUCGCGGAAUUCCCGGUGUAGAGGUGAAAUUCGUAGAUAUUGGGAGGAACACCAGUGGCGAAGGCGGCUACCUGGACCGGUUCUGACGCUGAGGCGCGAAAGCGUGGGUAGCAAACAGG
Molecule: ribosomal RNA, 253 nt
Filed under: uncultured bacterium
Lineage: Bacteria
Description: partial 16S ribosomal RNA
Rfam family: Bacterial small subunit ribosomal RNA
Source: RNAcentral